This 107-nucleotide ribosomal RNA is filed under the name Strobilomyces sp. HS2006f. RNAcentral's name for it is "partial 5.8S rRNA". It matches the Rfam family "5.8S ribosomal RNA", at positions 50 to 154 of the family's 154-position model. Rfam says of the family: 5.8S ribosomal RNA (5.8S rRNA) is a component of the large subunit of the eukaryotic ribosome. It is transcribed by RNA polymerase I as part of the 45S precursor that also contains 18S and 28S rRNA. Lineage: Eukaryota; Fungi; Basidiomycota; Agaricomycetes; Boletales; Boletaceae. The record is from RNAcentral. RNAcentral also lists the same sequence under 4 other names.
GAAUCGCGAUAUGUAAUGUGAAUUGCAGAUUUCCAGUGAAUCAUCGAAUCUUUGAACGCACCUUGCGCUCUCCGGUACUCCGGAGAGCAUGCCUGUUUGAGUGUCAU